This 253-nucleotide ribosomal RNA is filed under the name uncultured bacterium. RNAcentral describes it as "partial 16S ribosomal RNA". It matches the Rfam family "Bacterial small subunit ribosomal RNA", at positions 524 to 776 of the family's 1533-position model. The record is from RNAcentral.
UACGUAGGUCGCAAGCGUUGUCCGGAUUUACUGGGCGUAAAGAGCGCGCAGGCGGCUGGUCAAGUCCGAUGUGAAAUCUCCCGGCUCAACUGGGAAACUGCAUCGGAAACUGAUCGGCUUGAAGGUGGGAGAGGGUAGUGGAAUUCCCGGUGUAGUGGUGAAAUGCGUAGAUAUCGGGAGGAACACCAGUGGCGAAGGCGGCCGCCUGGGCCAGUCCUGACGCUGAGCCGCGAAAGCGUGGGGAGCGAUCCGG